This 977-nucleotide long non-coding RNA is filed under the name Ananas comosus (pineapple). RNAcentral's name for it is "long non-coding RNA (ACOM_LNC013466)". Lineage: Eukaryota; Viridiplantae; Streptophyta; Magnoliopsida; Poales; Bromeliaceae. The record is from RNAcentral.
ACUUUUUAUUGAAGUGGGCCUGAUCAACGACGGCCCAUAUCCACACCCUAUAAAAUAUCUGUUCGAAAUUCAAUUUCAAACCACAACCCAUUCAAAAUUCGAUUUCGUAUUUCGAAUCCCCAACCAAUUCCCAAAAUAUCCUCCAACCAUCCAACAACCUAUUCAAAAUUCGAUUUUGAAUUUCGAAUCCCCAACCAACUCCCAAAAUAUCUUCCAACUACCCAACAAUCGAUUCAAAAUUUGAUUUCAAAUUUCGAAUCCCCAACCAAUUCCCAAAAUAUCCUCCAGCCAUCUAAUAACCCAUUCAAAAUUCGAUUUCGAAUUUCGAAUCCCCAACCAACUCUAAAAAUAUCUUCCAAUCAUGCAACAACCCAUUCAAAAUUCGAUUUCGAAUUUCGAAUCCCCAAGCAACUCCAAAAAUAUCUUCCAACCAUCCAAUAACAUAUUCAAAAUUCGAUUUUGAAUUUCGAAUCCCCAACCAACUCCAAAAAUAUCCAACAACCGAUUCAAAAUUCGAUGUUGAAUUUCGAAUCCCCAACCAAUUUCCAAAAUAUCCUCUAACCAUCCAACAACCGAUUCAAAAUUCGAUUUCCCCAACCAACCCCCGAAAUAUCUUCCAACCAACCAUAAUAACCGAUUCAAAAUUCGAUUUCGAAUUUCGAAUUCCCAACCAACCCCCAAAAUAUCUUCCAACCAAUCACAACAACCGAUUCAAAAUUCGAUUUCGAAGUUCGAAUUCCCAACCAACCCCAAAAUAUCUUCCAACUAACCACAACAACCGAUUCAAAAUUCGAUUUCGAAUUUCGAAUUCUUAACUGACUCCUCAAAAUAUCUCUCGCCACCUCUCCUAUUAUAAAUAUGAGAAUCGAAAUCAAACGUCGGACGAUAAAAGAAGAAGGGAAAAAAAAUAGAUAGAUUGCUAUACACGUUCUGACGUACAAAAAAUUCAAAGGAAGAGAGAUCGCCGAGCCGCCGAA